GACGAACGCUGGCGGCGUGCUUAACACAUGCAAGUCGAACGGAAAGGCCCUGUUUUGGGGGGGUGCUCGAGGGGCAAACGGGUGAGAAACAUGUGAGUAACCUGCCUUGGACUUGGGGAUAACUUCAGGAACCUGGGGCUAAUACCGGAUAGGAGCUCCGGCUGCAGGGUGGGGGUGGGAAAGUUUCGGCGGUUGGGGAUGGACGCGCGGCUAAUCAGCUUUUUGGGGGGGUAGUGGCUUACCAAGGCUUUGACGGGUAGCCGGCCUGAGAGGGUCACCGGCCACAUUAGGACUGAGAUACGGCCCAGACUCCUACGGGAGGCAGCAGUGGGGAAUAUUGCACAAUGGGCGGAAGCCUGAUGCAGCAACGCCGCGUGCGGGAUGACGGCCUUCGGGUUGUAAACCGCUUUCGCCUGUGACGAAGCGUGAGUGACGGUAAUGGGUAAAGAAGCACCGGCUAACUACGUG
RNAcentral lists this ribosomal RNA (468 nucleotides) under uncultured bacterium. RNAcentral's name for it is "partial 16S ribosomal RNA". It matches the Rfam family "Bacterial small subunit ribosomal RNA", at positions 28 to 507 of the family's 1533-position model. The record is from RNAcentral.